GCGCAUGUGGCGGAAUGGUAGACGCGCCAGCUUGAGGGGCUGGUGGGGCAGAUGCCCCGUGGAAGUUCGAGUCUUCUCGUGCGCA
Molecule: transfer RNA, 85 nt
Filed under: Alkalibacterium sp.
Lineage: Bacteria; Bacillati; Bacillota; Bacilli; Lactobacillales; Carnobacteriaceae
Description: tRNA-Leu
Rfam family: tRNA
About the family: Transfer RNA (tRNA) molecules are approximately 80 nucleotides in length.
Source: RNAcentral